UAUCUCUAUAGUUCAAUUUGAUAUUGUUUUUUCAAAAACAAUAUAUCCGAUUGCUAUGUACGGAACAUUUGCUGGAGAAACGUCUUCUUUAGAACCUAAUCAGGAACAUUGUAAUCAAGUAAUAUCACUAAAUCAAUUAAUUUCAUUGAAAAAGAAAUUCAAGAAUUGUUCUUUUUUUUAAUGAUUUCUAAUUUCAAGGAGAAUGUCAUUACAUGUUCUAAUCUCAACUAUCGUGUAAAUGUAAGAGGGAGCUGCUUUUCUCUUUUUAGUAAACCAUACGAGAAACUUGUACUGAAGAGUGUAAAUGCUUUGUUUAAAAACGGAACAACAGCAAUAAUGGGUCCAACUGGUGGAGGAAAAUCCUCGUUAGUAAAUGAUUAAAUGUUUAAUGCAUAUCUUCAAUGGCAUAAUUUGAGUUUCACUUUAAGAUACUGAAUAACCAAAAGGUUUAUUUUGUUGAAUAUUUUCAGUCUACUUGACAUCUUAGCUGAUCGAAAAUCUACAUCUGGUAUUGAAGGAACUAUUUUAAUGGAUGGAAAAGAAAGAGGCCUAAAUUUUAAGUCAAUAACAGGUUAUGUUACUCAAGAAGAUGUGAUUAUGGGUACUCUAACAGUUAAAGAAAAUAUCAUGUUUUCCGCCAAUAUGCGUUUACCGUCGAAAUUAUCAAAGGAGAUAAAGAAAUUUAUGGUUGAGGAAGUUUUAGACGAAUUAGGCUUAACCGAUGUAGGAGACAGUAGAGUAGGAACGGAAUAUCUGAGAGGGGUAUCGGGGGGGGAGAGAAAGAGAACUUGUAUUGGCAUGGAAUUGAUCAUUAGACCGUCUAUUCUGUUUUUAGAUGAACCUACUUCUGGAUUAGAUUCUUCAACCUCUUAUUCAGUAAUCUGUUUGUUAAAUGAAUUAGCAAAAAAAGGAAGGAUAGUUGUGUUAUCGAUACACCAAGCAAGAUAUGGCAUUUUUAAAAUGAUAGAUAAUUUAUUACUUUUGGGAAACGGGUCUGUCAUAUAUCACGGGCCGACAGAAAAUGCUCUACCAUAUUUUAAUUCUAUUGGAUAUCAGUGCGAAGAAUUUAAUAACCCCGCGGAUUUCUUUCUAGAUGUUAUUAAUGGAGAUUUCGAUAAAACCAAAUCGUUUAUUGAAAGUUCCAAAGAACACAAUAUAUCCAUUUCUAAAGCUUUCGAAAUGUCUGAUAGAAAAAGUAGAUUUAUCAAACAAAGGAGUGAUAAGUUAGCUCGACUUUUUGAAAAAUCAAAAUACUACGCAAGAGUUGUUGAAGAAAUUCACCAGCGAAAUGCAUCAAUAAAUCAGCCUAGCUGUAAGAAGAUCCAGUAUAUAACAUCAUUUACAACUCAAAUCCUUCAUCUAAGUCAUAGAACAAUGAUAAAUUCAAAAAGAAAUCCAGCCUCAAUGUUUGCCCAGAUAUUUGUCAUGAUUUUAUUAUCAAUACUGAAUGGGCUUGUCUACUAUCAUGUUGAAAAUAAUAUUUCUGGUCUAACAAACAGGUGAAUCUGUGCCAAGAUCUCAUUAUCUCUUUUCGGAUAUUUAUAUAUCGAAAAAAUAUAUAUAUAUUGGCCAUUGAGCAAUCAGCUAAGUCGCGUCAUGGAAUCAAAGGAGUCUAAUGAAAUUUUCUUUUCUAGAGUCGGUUCCAUUUUCUCCACAACGUUGAAUAUGGUUUUUAUUAAUUUGGCUGCAAUUGAACUAUUCAUCAAAGAAAAACCUCUUUUCAUGUAAUUUCUAUUUAUUAAUUUUUCAAAAACUCUUUUUUGAGAAUUCUUUAAACUUAAAGGCAUGAAAACACAGGAAGAUAUUAUAGGGUUUCUUCAUAUUUCAUUGCGAAGUUUUUCUGCGACAUCAUACCGAUUAGAAUAUUUCCAGCUAUGGUUUAUGGCGCAAUUGUAUAUUGGAUGAUCGGAUUGCAUUGCAAUUUGGCGUCAUUUUUUACAUUCUUAGCAUUCUGUUGUUUGACUUCAUUGACAACUUGUAGCCUUGCAUUUGCAAUAAGUGCUGGAAUAAAGAAUUUUACUCUUGCUCAAGUAACCUUGGCUUUUCUCUGCGUGGUAAUGAUGAUAUUUAGUGGAUUUAUGGUUAAUCUGGAUUCAAUAAAACCUUACCUUCAAUGGAUAAAAUGGUUAAGCAUCGUCAGAUACUCUUUUGAUGGUUUAUUAAUUAAUGAAUUGCAAAAUCUAACAAUAUGCCAAAAUUAUCCGUUUUAUCGAAAGCAAAAGUUUUGCUCGAAAGAAAUUGCACGAUACUAUUUAAGAAACUAUCAAGGUAUAACAUAUGAAACAAAUUGGGAUUUAUGGCAAAAUUUUUUAGCUCUUUUCUGUCUGUUUUUGAUUUUUACUGUUAUAGCUUACGUCCAAUUAAGACUAUUGAGAAAGACAAAAUAACAUGUAUGAAAAUUGUAACUAAAUAAUCUUUUAUAUAUCAUUUUCUCGACUAAAUAAAAUUUUUAAUGAAUUAUGUAUCUCCU
This 2470-nucleotide unclassified non-coding RNA is filed under the name Dimorphilus gyrociliatus. Its description in RNAcentral is "aTP-binding cassette sub-family G member 2". The record is from RNAcentral. Lineage: Eukaryota; Metazoa; Annelida; Polychaeta; Dinophilidae.